Molecule: long non-coding RNA, 1232 nt
Organism: Dreissena polymorpha
Lineage: Eukaryota; Metazoa; Mollusca; Bivalvia; Myida; Dreissenidae
Exons: 4
Source: RefSeq, a predicted model, not a curated record
GUCAAAUUGUCACUCAAACAAUUGGUCAAUAAUGGAGUUAUGGCCACUUUUUACAUAAAAAUACAUGUUUAUAAUAUUGGUAUUUUAACUGCUUUUUGGAUUUGAUUGAACCUUUAUUUAAGUGUAUCAUGUAUGAAUCUAAAGCAGUAGUUGUUUACAGAAUUUGGCGUUGCAAGCAUGUGGCGUGUGGUAUCAAUUUAACAAAUGUGCUUGUUUGUUUAUAUUUUUAUUAGGGAUGGCAACGAAUACCGAUUUCGGUAUUCGAAUAUUUGGUCAUCCUUCCGAACGAAUAUUCGGAUAUUCGGUCAACAUCUGUUGAAAAACUUUGUCAACUUUGUUUACCAUACUCCAUGAAUUCUACUUUACAAAACAAAAAUAAAUUGUACUUAUUUACAGUAUAACAUUAUUAGGGGCGAAGAUUUCCGACCAGAGUUCCGACAAAUUGGGGAACUGCGCAGCCUGACAGAACUGAUGUACCCUUGCUUGCAGUUACUGCUACAGCAACAGAGAAGGUACAGCAGAAUAUACACCAAGGUCUGCUGUUGUCCGACGAUGCGUUAUCCGUCGGCGUAUUACCCGACAGACCGAAUAUUCGACUGGCGGUUAGAAAUCGACUGAUCACGCUGAGGAAGAGCUGGUGUGGUUGCUGCAACAGUUUCAGACAACACCCACACUGGUCAAGACUAUAAUAUUCUGCAAGUCGUACAGGUGUGUAUAUCAAGUGUGGUCAUGGUUGGUUAUUCAACUCGGUGACACGUCUUACGACGGGGAGCACCGUAGCUACAACCGCGUUGUUGAAAUGUUUACAUCUUCAACAACGGACGCCACGAAGGAGAGGAUUCUAAAUGAUUUCCGGGCCGGAAGAGUUAGCGUUGUUGUGGCAACAGUCGCCUUUGGGCUUGGAAUCGACAUUCCGGACGUGUGGCUCGUGGUCCACUGGGGCGCACCGCGCUCUAUCCUGUCUUACUGGCAGAGCCGGUAGCGAUGGAGAUCCCGCUCUUGCUCUAGUUUUCGCGUACCCUCGGUCCAUAACGGAUUGCCAUGACGCUAUGAAGACCAUGGUGAAUGGGACGGAAUGCGUCAGACGUACCGUUCUGAAGGAGCUAAGAACUAAAGACAUGAAUCCUAUUCCUGCCCAAGGCGAUGGUUGUCAAGAUGACACAUGUGAAGUGUGUGUUUGCCAGUUGUGUAUUUGUUGUAACAGAUGCUCACGAAGCUGUACAUGUUUUGGA